RNAcentral lists this ribosomal RNA (407 nucleotides) under uncultured bacterium. RNAcentral describes it as "bacterial SSU rRNA". It matches the Rfam family "Bacterial small subunit ribosomal RNA", at positions 357 to 772 of the family's 1533-position model. The record is from RNAcentral.
GGGAAUAUUGCGCAAUGGACGGAAGUCUGACGCAGCGACGCCGCGUGAGGGAUGACGGCCUUCGGGUUGUAAACCUCUUUCACCAUCGACGCAGCCUUUCGGGGUGACGGUAGGUGGGGAAGAAGCACCGGCUAACUACGUGCCAGCAGCCGCGGUAAUACGUAGGGUGCGAGCGUUGUCCGGAAUUAUUGGGCGUAAAGAGCUCGUAGGCGGUUUGUUGCGUCGGCCGUGAAAACUAGAGGCUUAACUUUUAGCUUGCGGUCGAUACGGGCAGACUUGAGUUCGGUAGGGGAGACUGGAAUUCCUGGUGUAGCGGUGAAAUGCGCAGAUAUCAGGAGGAACACCGGUGGCGAAGGCGGGUCUCUGGGCCGAUACUGACGCUGAGGAGCGAAAGCGUGGGGAGCGAA